RNAcentral lists this transfer RNA (72 nucleotides) under Urocitellus parryii (Arctic ground squirrel). RNAcentral describes it as "Spermophilus parryii (Arctic ground squirrel) tRNA". It matches the Rfam family "tRNA". From Rfam's summary of the family: Transfer RNA (tRNA) molecules are approximately 80 nucleotides in length. RNAcentral also lists the same sequence under 1 other name. The record is from Rfam by way of RNAcentral. Lineage: Eukaryota; Metazoa; Chordata; Mammalia; Rodentia; Sciuridae.
GGAGAUGUAGCUCAGUGGUGGAGCCCUUGCCUAACACGUGUAAGACUCUGGAUUUGAUCUCCAGUAUUACCA